GGCGGGGCACAAGGCGAGACCCAGCCCCCGACUCCCGGCGCAUCAAAACAAAACACCCGCCGUGUCGACGCAUGCGCGGGGGGGACGGGCGCCCGCGCCGAGGGCGGGGCUUAGCGCGCACCGGCCCGAGACCGCCCUUCCCCCAACGCUCCAGACCCGACCCCGGAGUCGAAACUCAGCCUUCGCCUCGGUUCCCGUUACUAUUCGUCCUAGCGGGUGACGGGGUUGGCAAGUUAACGUUCACUGCCGACUCACCCGGGACUCACGGUAACUAGCUUGGUCUCCAGCCUCUCCGAACUCUGUUGAGAAGUUACUAAAAUUAGCUCCAGUGUACAGCCGUGGGAACUGUUCCAUGGACUUCCCUCCGGUUGCACGGGGUUCGAAUGAGACCCGAACAGUAGCCUACGAAGUCUUCAGGGGGAACCCCGAACGGGGCCCGAGUUCUCCCUCAGACCUACCGUUCUUCUCUCCGAGAAGUGCCUCCUGUCUCCUUCGCACGCCCGGAAAUCGGGGUUCUGAAAACUGCUCAAAUGGUGUCCAGCAAGAACCCCGGAGCCCGCGGCGGCCCGUUACCACAUUCCACCAGUCAGGCCUCACCUUCGAGCGCCCAAACAUUGGCGGGCUGCACUGGGCGCACUCGCGCCAAACCGCCGGCCCGGGCGCCCGGCAGGUCCCACCCGCCGCCGGCCCGGGCAGCGGCUCGCUCGGCCAGCACCUGUUGCCCGGCCGGUCCCUCGGCGCGGCGACGCGUGCCACGGAAAUCGCCGCUUCCACCAGCGGGCUGCGGCGCGCCCCGGGGCGGACUGUCCAACGAGGGCUCAGUUAACAAGAUUUCAACAACCGCCACCGCUGUGUAAAACGGUGGGGUAUUCCCGCUCAGGUCGGAGACCUGUCUACACCGUGUGGACUAGGUGCGCGGGGAGAACGGUACUGCUUGGAUCCUCAGAUGCCUGUGAAACAGUUUUCAAAUAAACUUUUACACGCACGCGACGGCACAGUACUUUGCAUUAACACUGCACUGCAUCUGAAAGGGAAAUCGUCUAUUUCUUGAAGGUGCAGGCCCAGCAAUCGGGGUGACAAAGGGCAAUUCCUAACGCACUUUCUCGCUUAUUUCAUCCCCUCCCCGAAAGGCGGGCUGGGCCCCCGAUCGCCUAACUCCGCUCCCAACUCCGGGCGGAAGCGGCCGGCCGGCCUGCCGGGACACGCUCCGGGAAGCCAGGGGGCGGGCGCUCCUGCCCGGCUGCAAGAUGGCCGCCGCCGCCCGGCAGCCGCCGCCCGGGAGGUCGCCCUAGGAGCCGCAGCCUUCGCCCGAGCCCGCGGGCCGCCGCCAGCCUGCUCACCAUGACGCCUGUGAGUCGCCGCACGCUGGAUCGGAUUUACUCAGCGGUAGGUCGCGGGUCUGGCGCAGCUCCACGCCGUCGACUCCCCGGGCCCGCGGGCGGAGGGGCCCCUGGAUCUUCAGCGCCCAGAAACUCCAAAGCCCAUUUCUGCAUUAAGCGUUUCACGCCCUCGCCCGGGCCCGCCUCUUCCGCCGCUGACGUGAAGGCUGCCGGCUGCUGCUGGCGAUCGUUUUACUCUCCUGGGGAUACGUCAUCUAUGCAUCCACCGUGGCCGCGCGGCGACAGUUAAGGAAGCAAUACCCGAAAUUCUGGGAUGAAUGAAGACUUGUAAUUCUACUGAAUUUAGUUCUUUGCAAACACAGUUCUUUCCCUUAUGCUUAUCCGACACCUUUGUAGAUUUACAAAAUAAAAUUCAUACUGCAAAGUG
Non-coding RNA from Oryctolagus cuniculus (rabbit), 1767 nucleotides. NCBI's taxonomy places the organism in Eukaryota, Metazoa, Chordata, Mammalia, Lagomorpha, Leporidae. The record is from RefSeq and is a predicted model, not a curated record.